UACGUAGGGGGCAAGCGUUAUCCGGAAUUACUGGGUGUAAAGGGAGCGUAGACGGUGAUGCAAGUCUGGAGUGAAAGGCGGGGGCCCAACCCCCGGACUGCUCUGGAAACUGUAUGACUUGAGUGCAGGAGAGGUAAGCGGAAUUCCUAGUGUAGCGGUGAAAUGCGUAGAUAUUAGGAGGAACACCAGUGGCGAAGGCGGCUUACUGGACUGUAACUGACGUUGAGGCUCGAAAGCGUGGGGAGCAAACAGG
This 253-nucleotide ribosomal RNA is filed under the name uncultured bacterium. Its description in RNAcentral is "partial 16S ribosomal RNA". It matches the Rfam family "Bacterial small subunit ribosomal RNA", at positions 524 to 776 of the family's 1533-position model. The record is from RNAcentral.